CCCCGGCGCCGGGGGCCGGAGGCCCGUCCGCCCUCGCCGCCCCUCGCUGUGGGGCCGGGGGACCGGCGCCGGUGCCGUCGGGGCACGGCCCGCCCGUAGGAGGGGUGUGCCCCGGGGGAGGCAGCUGUCCCGCUCCCCUCGGCCGAGGGGCUGCGCAGCUCGGGGCGGCUCGUUCAGCAGGAACCGGGACAUUGCCGCGGGGGGCUGUGCAAACCCAUUAGCACCCCAGCUUUCCUGCUUCAGGAGGAGGCUUCAGGAAUCGAGGGAGAACAGACCGAAGCUUGAGUGACAAAGAGGUAGCCCUCCCCGCUCACCAUACUGCCAGGUGCUUGUCUGAGACGCCGGAGAAACGAAAGGACUGGGCUUAUAGGAAGAAGACUGAGUGGUGCACACCCGCUCCCCUGAACGAUGCAGGAGAGACACUUCAAAUCUUUGAAGUUCUGUCGGUGACCCAGGAGGGAGCAGUAAACUAGGGUUGCAAGAGGCACUUCUCGAGACAAACUACCUGCUCUGUGCACACAUUUCUAGCAAACAGAAGGUACAGUUUAACACUGCCUAUAAAAUGGUCCUACUAAGAAACACCCUCUCAAAAAUUAGGGACUGUAGAGCAGCAAACUUCCCUAGUACAAGUGUGUGGCCUGCUAAUAUUCAAUUGUAUCAUCUCCACCUACUGGCCAGAAGAAACUAGCUGGCGCGCAGAACUGGUGAAAUGCAACCACUGCAUCCACAUGCUUCUUCAUGAUACCCAGGAUCAGGUGAGAUGAAUUCCAUGACUUUUAUCCAAUACUGAGCCCAUACCUCUCAAGUCUCAACAGAUGGCAAGCUGUCCUGAGAGAUGUUCUUUCUUGAAGAAAUACAAACGCCUUCAUGAUAACAAAAAAAGGGGGAAGGACCUCUACUAGACGGAAGCUUGGAUCCUGUUUGCUGCUUCUCAGAAGACAAUAAAUGCAUUUCUUAGAAUGGAAGAGACCAUCAGGCUCCAUACAAUCAAGUACAAUUGGCUAAGCUACCAAAAUAAGAGCGUAUUGAACGAUUAAAUACCAAAGGCUAAGGCUGCUCCUCAAAGAUGCACUAUAAAGUAUUUUGAAAAAGUAUGUGGGGUGGCAAAUACUUGACUUUUGUAUUAUUUUUAAUACCACCCUCACUGUGUUUGAAAGACUCAGUGUAUAUGUGCAAACCUAUAGAUACCAUGAAAGCAAAAAUAAAGCUCUAGUUCAAGAGCCCAAGGCAGCCGCAUACCCAGUACAUACAUGUGUACACAGAGUCAUCAGGAAAUUCACCUUCCUUAAUUAUUUCACCAAAAAUUCCAGCUGUGCAACACAUCUUACCCUCAUGCAGGUACUCCAUACAUGAGACUGAGAGACGUAGCUGUGUAGAGAACAACAGACAACAUUUGGCUUAACAGCAGCCGCUCUGUGCUGAGGAAUACCAGCCCUUACACUUGGUAUUGCUUUGGAGCUUCCGCAGAGAAAAAGCAGUGACAGAAUGCCACAGCAGCACACAAAUCCUGUGAAGUCUACAAAUCAUUUUCUUACACAGAUUUUGCACAGGAUUCUCAGGGAGAUUGUCCUGGUUCUGGCUGGGAUAGAGAUCUUGUAGAGAAAGGCAGACAAAGGAGACCAGACAUUUUAUCUCCAUCGAUAGCUUUCAUGAAGAACCUAGAGCUGCAAAGAGCAGUAGUUUCACCUUCAGAAUGGUAAGAACAGGUAAAGGUUUUUAGAUGGGGACUGACCGAAGCUUCAGGACAUGAGCUACUUUGGAAAGCAGUGCUCACGAAUGCUAAUUACUGUUACAUGCUUAAAUAAGUAAUAAAACAGUAAUACUGGAACACCG
This is a long non-coding RNA of Falco peregrinus (peregrine falcon), 1833 nucleotides long. RefSeq lists it as uncharacterized. The transcript is spliced from 4 exons. NCBI's taxonomy places the organism in Eukaryota, Metazoa, Chordata, Aves, Falconiformes, Falconidae. The record is from RefSeq and is a predicted model, not a curated record.